GAUUAACGCUGGCGGCGUGCAUAACACAUGCAAGUCGAACGAUGAAACUUUAAUGAACCCUUCGGGGAGAAUUAAAGCGGAUUAGUGGCGAACGGGUGAGUAACGCGUGAGUAACCUGCCUUACACAAGGGGAUAGCCUUUGGAAACGAAGAAUAAUACCCUAUAGCACCAUAAAAGCACAUGCAAUUAUGGUCAAAGUGAUAGCGGUGUAAGAUGGACUUGCGUCUGAUUAGCUAGUUGGUGAGAUAAAAGCCCACCAAGGCAACGAUCAGUAGCCGGCUUGAGAGAGUGUACGGCCACAUUGGGACUGAGACACGGCCCAGACUCCUACGGGAGGCAGCAGUGGGGAAUUUUGCACAAUGGGGGAAACCCUGAUGCAGCGACGCCGCGUGAUUUAGAAGGCCUUCGGGUUGUAAAAAUCUUUUGUAUAGGAAGAAAAUGACAGUACUAUACGAAUAAGGUCCGGCUAAUUACGUG
This 477-nucleotide ribosomal RNA is filed under the name uncultured bacterium. Its description in RNAcentral is "partial 16S ribosomal RNA". It matches the Rfam family "Bacterial small subunit ribosomal RNA", at positions 28 to 507 of the family's 1533-position model. The record is from RNAcentral.